RNAcentral lists this ribosomal RNA (254 nucleotides) under uncultured bacterium. Its description in RNAcentral is "partial 16S ribosomal RNA". It matches the Rfam family "Bacterial small subunit ribosomal RNA", at positions 524 to 776 of the family's 1533-position model. The record is from RNAcentral.
UACGGGGGGGGCAAGCGUUGUUCGGAAUUACUGGGCGUAAAGGGCUCGUAGGCGGCCAGCUAAGUCGGAUGUGAAAUCCCCAGGCUUAACCUGGGAACUGCAUCCGAUACUGGAUGGCUUGAAUCCGGGAGAGGGAUGCAGAAUUCCAGGUGUAGCGGUGAAAUGCGUAGAUAUCUGGAGGAAUACCGGUGGCGAAGGCGGCAUCCUGGACCGGCAUUGACGCUGAGUGAGCGAAAGCCAGGGGAGCAAACGGG